This 468-nucleotide ribosomal RNA is filed under the name uncultured bacterium. RNAcentral's name for it is "partial 16S ribosomal RNA". It matches the Rfam family "Bacterial small subunit ribosomal RNA", at positions 28 to 507 of the family's 1533-position model. The record is from RNAcentral.
GACGAACGCUGGCGGCGUGCUUAACACAUGCAAGUCGAACGGAAAGGCCCUGCUUUUGUGGGGUGCUCGAGUGGCGAACGGGUGAGUAACACGUGAGUAACCUGCCCUUGACUUUGGGAUAACUUCAGGAAACUGGGGCUAAUACCGGAUAGGAGCUCCUGCUGCAUGGUGGGGGUUGGAAAGUUUCGGCGGUGGGGGAUGGACUCGCGGCUUAUCAGCUUGUUGGUGGGGUAGUGGCUUACCAAGGCUUUGACGGGUAGCCGGCCUGAGAGGGUGACCGGCGACAUUGGGACUGCGAUACGGCCCAGACUCCUACGGGAGGCAGCAGUGGGGAAUAUUGCACAAUGGGCGGAAGCCUGAUGCAGCAACGCCGCGUGCGGGAUGACGGCUUUCGGGUUGUAAACCGCUUUCGCCUGUGACGAAGCGUGAGUGGCGGUAAUGGGUAAAGAAGCAACGGCUAACUACGUG